AUGCGGAGAAUUCUGGAACCUCUGUUGAAGUCAGCUGAAGCAUCUCUCCUGCCACUGUGUCAGAACAUUCCUUCUGCUUCCCUUGGUCUUCAGCACAUUUGUCCCCGUCCUCAUUGGAGCAGCAGUCACAACAGUCUUGGCUCCCGCUCCCUGGCAUCCUCCUGGGACUUGACCCUCCUGGAACUUUGCUGCCCUUCUCUGUACCCUGAGCCUUGCCUGCAGUGAGUGUCUUCAGUUGCUCUGUGCAGUGUGACACAGCUCAACCCCUGCUGCCUAUCAUAGGAGCCCUUUGACCAUGCUUAACAAUGGUUACAGCCAGGAAAAUAAUGUUCUGCAAAUGGUUUCAGCAAAUAAACAAAUAAAACAUUUGCUACUUUUUGUUUUU
RNAcentral lists this long non-coding RNA (385 nucleotides) under Cyanistes caeruleus (blue tit). RNAcentral's name for it is "lncRNA (ENSCCEG00000011734.1)". The record is from RNAcentral. Lineage: Eukaryota; Metazoa; Chordata; Aves; Passeriformes; Paridae.